GUGGGGAAUCUUGCGCAAUGGGCGAAAGCCUGACGCAGCCAUGCCGCGUGAAUGAUGAAGGUCUUAGGAUUGUAAAAUUCUUUCACCGGGGACGAUAAUGACGGUACCCGGAGAAGAAGCCCCGGCUAACUUCGUGCCAGCAGCCGCGGUAAUACGAAGGGGGCUAGCGUUGCUCGGAAUUACUGGGCGUAAAGGGCGCGUAGGCGGACAGUUAAGUUGGGGGUGAAAGCCCGGGGCUCAACCUCGGAACUGCCUUCAAUACUGGCUGUCUUGAGUAUGAGAGAGGUGUGUGGAACUCCGAGUGUAGAGGUGAAAUUCGUAGAUAUUCGGAAGAACACCAGUGGCGAAGGCGACACACUGGCUCAUUACUGACGCUGAGGCGCGAAAGCGUGGGGAGCAAACAGGAUUAGAAACCCUGGUAGUCC
This 425-nucleotide ribosomal RNA is filed under the name uncultured bacterium. Its description in RNAcentral is "partial 16S ribosomal RNA". It matches the Rfam family "Bacterial small subunit ribosomal RNA", at positions 354 to 796 of the family's 1533-position model. The record is from RNAcentral.